RNAcentral lists this ribosomal RNA (261 nucleotides) under uncultured bacterium. RNAcentral's name for it is "partial 16S ribosomal RNA". It matches the Rfam family "Bacterial small subunit ribosomal RNA", at positions 93 to 354 of the family's 1533-position model. The record is from RNAcentral.
UAGUGGCGGACGGGUGAGUAACGCGUGGGUAACCUGCCAUAUACAGGGGGAUAACACUUAGAAAUAGGUGCUAAUACCGCAUAAGCGCACAGGGGCGCAUGCCCCGGUGUGAAAAACUCCGGUGGUAUAUGAUGGACCCGCGUCUGAUUAGCCAGUUGGCAGGGUAACGGCCUACCAAAGCGACGAUCAGUAGCCGGCCUGAGAGGGCGGACGGCCACAUUGGGACUGAGACACGGCCCAAACUCCUACGGGAGGCAGCAG